AGCCUGCCCAGUGACCCACCCCGUUCAACGGCCGCGGUACCCUAACCGUGCAAAGGUAGCGUAAUCACUUGUCUUCUAAAUAAAGACUAGUAUGAAAGGCGCCACGAGGAUUAAACUGUCUCCCUUUUCUAAUCAGUGAACCUAAUCUCCCCGUGAAGAAGCGGGGAUUAAUAUAUAAGACGAGAAGACCCUGUGGAGCUUAAAACAUUAUAACACCUGCUGCUUCUCCCCUUACCAUUUUACCAGCACAAUGAUUAUGUGUUUUCGGUUGGGGUGACCACGGAGGAAAAACUAUCCCCCACAAUGAAGGGCCCCCCCAUAAACAACAAGCCACAGCUUUAAGUAUUAAUAAAUUGACAUCCUUGACCCAAUAUAUUGACUAAUGAACCAAGUUACCCCAGGGAUAACAGCGCAAUCCGCUUCAAGAGCUCAUAUCGACAAGCGGGCUUACGACCUCGAUGUUGGAUCAGGGUAUCCUAGUGGUGCAACCACUACUGAAGGU
RNAcentral lists this ribosomal RNA (502 nucleotides) under Pristimantis anolirex (Santander robber frog). RNAcentral describes it as "partial large subunit ribosomal RNA". It matches the Rfam family "Bacterial large subunit ribosomal RNA", at positions 1856 to 2572 of the family's 2925-position model. Lineage: Eukaryota; Metazoa; Chordata; Amphibia; Anura; Strabomantidae. The record is from RNAcentral.